This 235-nucleotide ribosomal RNA is filed under the name uncultured bacterium. Its description in RNAcentral is "partial 16S ribosomal RNA". It matches the Rfam family "Bacterial small subunit ribosomal RNA", at positions 104 to 334 of the family's 1533-position model. The record is from RNAcentral.
CGGGGUGGAGUAACGGCGGUGGGUAACCCGCCUUGUACGUGGGGACAACAGUUGGAAACGACUGCUAAUACCGCAUAAGCGCACAGCUUCGCAUGAAGCAGUGUGAAAAACUCCGGUGGUACAAGAUGGACCCGCGUCUGAUUAGCUGGUUGGUGAGGUAACGGCCCACCAAGGCGACGAUCAGUAGCCGGCCUGAGAGGGUGAACGGCCACAUUGGGACUGAGACACGGCCCAA